Molecule: long non-coding RNA, 700 nt
Organism: Carassius gibelio (silver crucian carp)
Lineage: Eukaryota; Metazoa; Chordata; Actinopteri; Cypriniformes; Cyprinidae
Exons: 3
Source: RefSeq, a predicted model, not a curated record
GCCGUAGAACAAACCGUUCGCGACGCACUUUUAAAAGACCCAGGUAACUGGCUGAUGGUUCACUGGAAUGCUGACUGCUGCUGGCUGACUUGCUGCUGGUUGACUGGGCUGUGUCACCUGUCCCUGUCUCUCCUCUCUAGCCAUGUCCUUUUUCUUCACUCUCACUUUACCUUCUCUGAGUAUCCUCGUUCUGUUUUCCUCAACCUUUGAAACUGAUAGAGGUCUAGGGGUGCAUCGUGGAGCAGGGCCCUCCUCUUUUUGACCACAGGACGAUGUACAAAGAUUGUGGGAAUAGCAUCUGACCUCAGCCUACUCUUGAAUUUUUUGGUCAUGACAAAUUGCUUUGCCGCAAUUUGUCUGCAUACUGACUUCAGUUUAGUUUACACACACACCUUUUUUUUUGUCUACCCACAUACAGUACAUAUCACAUGGUGGUUAAAUGCACAGUUAUAGGUAACACUGAUGACUCCCUGCAAUGUCUCACCAUGAGUCUCCCCUCCCUGGGUUUUGCAAGGCUUUGCUUGUUCCUUAUUUCUAGUAAAACAUUGUCAAUGUAAAAAAGUGCAAAUAAAUUUAAGUAUAAUUACCUAACAAUUUUUUGUUGUUGUAAUUUUUAUUAGUUUUUAGAUUGCUGACUUGAGCCAACCAUUAUUUUCUCCUCUCCAUGUCAGCGGGGAAGCCAUACAUUCGCACACCUUUC